RNAcentral lists this long non-coding RNA (210 nucleotides) under Prunus persica (peach). Its description in RNAcentral is "long non-coding RNA (PPER_LNC000067)". Lineage: Eukaryota; Viridiplantae; Streptophyta; Magnoliopsida; Rosales; Rosaceae. The record is from RNAcentral.
UUUUAUUUUAAAAGGUAAAAUUAGGUUCAAGUCCAGCUGUAAAAUAAAGUUUGAGUUGUUAAAAAAUAAAGACACAUGACAUAUUUUUUGAGUGGGAGUAUCACCAAUUAAUGUGGUGAUACAGUAUCAUUUUAUAAUUUCUUCUUGGACAAAAUACAAUAUACAUCAAUGUUCCUACAAAAGUCUUCUUAAUCAUGAUUUUUAUUAUUA